RNAcentral lists this ribosomal RNA (382 nucleotides) under Burkholderia sp. FER9. RNAcentral's name for it is "bacterial SSU rRNA". It matches the Rfam family "Bacterial small subunit ribosomal RNA", at positions 967 to 1354 of the family's 1533-position model. Lineage: Bacteria; Pseudomonadati; Pseudomonadota; Betaproteobacteria; Burkholderiales; Burkholderiaceae. The record is from RNAcentral.
AACCUUACCUACCCUUGACAUGGUCGGAAUCCUGAAGAGAUUCGGGAGUGCUCGAAAGAGAACCGGCGCACAGGUGCUGCAUGGCUGUCGUCAGCUCGUGUCGUGAGAUGUUGGGUUAAGUCCCGCAACGAGCGCAACCCUUGUCCUUAGUUGCUACGCAAGAGCACUCUAAGGAGACUGCCGGUGACAAACCGGAGGAAGGUGGGGAUGACGUCAAGUCCUCAUGGCCCUUAUGGGUAGGGCUUCACACGUCAUACAAUGGUCGGAACAGAGGGUUGCCAACCCGCGAGGGGGAGCUAAUCCCAGAAACCCGCUCUUAUCCGGAUUGCACUCUGCAACUCGACUGCAUGAAGCUGGAAUCGCUAGUAAUCGCGGAUCAGCA